GGGUUCCGGGAUUGUGGCGGCUAGGGUUCCCAAGAAGGUGCUGCAGUUUGCUGGUAUUGAUGAUGUUUUCACCUCCUCCAGGGGAUCCACCAAGACCCUUGGCAACUUCGUUAAGGUUUGUUUUUGGUAUUCUUACAAGUUUGCUGCUUUUGACAUUUUCAACUAUCAUGAAAAUUUUUAUGGACGAAUUAAGGUUGUAAUUCCAAUGUCACAAUUAAUUUAAGCUUUUUAUGUAAAUUAUUAAUUUUAAAUUUAGGGACGAACUGUUGAUGCUUUAACAGUUGCAAUUGUGGAGUCCAAUCUUUAAUUUACCCUUUGUCUUUCAUUUUUUUUGUGGCCUUUUGUGUAUGAAUGUAUUUGAACAAUCUACCAAUUUUGUCUCCAAAGUGCUACUGUUUCUUGAUUCUUCUAAGUUGUUUAUAAGGUAAUAGAACUAUUUAAGUAAUUUUCAAAAUAUUCAGUAUUGAAUAUUCAUCACUUAGUACCUAUGUUAUUUUACUUAAUAUGUGUUAGUCUAUGGUGUUUUUGCUGCAAUUGAUGGCAUUCAACAUGUAUCAUCACUUGUGUGAUUUGUUACUUGUGUAUGUGUGUUUAUGUGGAUGAUCUUUUGUUAGAGAGGCUAAUGUGUAUUUGUGUGCAUGAUCCUUUGGUGGAGAGGCUAAUGUUCAUGAAAGAAUUGCUAUGAUGUUGUUUUUAGUACCCAUAAUAAUGAUGAUGCUUUGUAUUAUUUACAGGCUACUUUUGAUUGCUUGAUGAAAACCUAUGGAUUCCUGACACCAGAAUUCUGGAAGGAGACUCGCUUCUCCAAAUCUCCAUUCCAAGAGUACACAGAUCUAUUGGCAAAACCAACAGGGAAGACUCUAAUCUUGGAGGAGGAAAGGGUGGAUGCUUGAUUUGCUAGUUUUGGUUUUAUGGAUGUUUUAGAGACAUUGUUAUUUACCUUUGUUGGUUCUGUGCUUUACUUUUGGUUUUGAUAG
This 977-nucleotide long non-coding RNA is filed under the name Glycine max (soybean). RNAcentral describes it as "long non-coding RNA (GMAX_LNC000310)". Lineage: Eukaryota; Viridiplantae; Streptophyta; Magnoliopsida; Fabales; Fabaceae. The record is from RNAcentral.